RNAcentral lists this ribosomal RNA (462 nucleotides) under Bacilli bacterium. RNAcentral's name for it is "bacterial SSU rRNA". It matches the Rfam family "Bacterial small subunit ribosomal RNA", at positions 59 to 504 of the family's 1533-position model. Lineage: Bacteria; Bacillati; Bacillota; Bacilli. The record is from RNAcentral.
CAGUCGAGCGGACAGAAGGGAGCUUGCUCCCGGAUGUUAGCGGCGGACGGGUGAGUAACACGUGGGUAACCUGCCUGUAAGACUGGGAUAACUCCGGGAAACCGGAGCUAAUACCGGAUAGUUCCUUGAACCGCAUGGUUCAAGGAUGAAAGACGGUUUCGGCUGUCACUUACAGAUGGACCCGCGGCGCAUUAGCUAGUUGGUGAGGUAACGGCUCACCAAGGCGACGAUGCGUAGCCGACCUGAGAGGGUGAUCGGCCACACUGGGACUGAGACACGGCCCAGACUCCUACGGGAGGCAGCAGUAGGGAAUCUUCCGCAAUGGACGAAAGUCUGACGGAGCAACGCCGCGUGAGUGAUGAAGGUUUUCGGAUCGUAAAGCUCUGUUGUUAGGGAAGAACAAGUGCAAGAGUAACUGCUUGCACCUUGACGGUACCUAACCAGAAAGCCACGGCUAACUAC